Long non-coding RNA from Coregonus clupeaformis (lake whitefish), 378 nucleotides. RefSeq lists it as uncharacterized. Lineage: Eukaryota; Metazoa; Chordata; Actinopteri; Salmoniformes; Salmonidae. The record is from RefSeq and is a predicted model, not a curated record. The transcript is spliced from 2 exons.
UACGAUGCAGGUGACCAGCCAAACAUCAAAGCGCAAUUUGCAGCGAUAGCCGGUUUUCCUAAUGUAAUCGGAGCGAUCGACUGCACACAUAUUGCUAUAAAGGCGCCAUCUGAAGACGAAUUUGCAUAUGUGAAUCGGAAACAUUUCCAUUCAAUAAAUGUGCAGAUUAUAUGUGAUGCACAAAUGCGCCUAACAAAUAUUGUGGCAAGGUGGCCUGGGUCAACCCAUGAUUCAUAUAUCCUUACAAACAGCAUGGUUGGGAUGAGACUCCAAGCUGGCAGGGUGCGCGAUGGGUGGCUACUUGGAGACAGUGGUUAUCCACUAAAGACGUGGCUGUUAACCCCCCUCACCAACCCACAAACUGACCGAGAGCGCAGA